This is a long non-coding RNA of Dromaius novaehollandiae (emu), 1991 nucleotides long. The record is from Ensembl. Lineage: Eukaryota; Metazoa; Chordata; Aves; Casuariiformes; Dromaiidae.
GAUCCCAUCUGAAAAGACUUAGACUAACACCAGAAAGAUGCAAAGAAAGAUGACAGUAAGGGGCAAGUUUAAAUACCACCUAGCUUGAAAAGAAGUGGCUCAUAGGAGAUAUGAUAGAGUUCUAAAACCUUAAGUGAUUUGAGCAGGCAAAUACCAAAUGACUGUUUGCUAUUUCUCAUAGCAUAAGGCUAGAGGAUUUUCAAUGAAACUAUCAAGUYGUAUGAUUAAAACAAACAAAAGGAGAAUAUAAAACACAGAGAGAUUAUAGAACUCAUUUCCACAGAAGCUUACGAAGGUAUUAAUUAAGAGAUUUAAUUUCUGCAGGUUCAGUCUGUCAGUAGGUAUUAUUAAAGCAAUAGUCUAAGUGCAAUUUAGACCUCGAGAGGUCCCUAACCUGUGUUGAUUUUUCUGGAACUUGAGGGGAAUUAUGUCGGUUGAACUACUCUAUUUGCACUAUUUAUAUUGUUCCUGAAACCUCUCCUACUAGAUACUUUCGGAGACAGGGCACUGGAAUACAAGCGACUUUUGUCUAACCCCUGUUCUUAUCAACUUUAUGCAAAGUUAUUAAAAAUUUUAUGUACCUGACUCCAAGUUAAUUUGUACUGAAGCAAAUACCUAAGUAUUUUUGAGGUCCUAGUCUAAUUUCAGGCUUUUUUUCAUGUGAAGUCAAGUUGUUCUUCUGCUUACUGUAAUUUAAUUUUCCGUGUUUAAAAUUACAGCUAACUUUGUCAAUGGAGCAGCAAAAUUAGAAGAUGGAGCAUCACCAAGAAUAAGAAAAUCAAAACCAGUAUAAGCUAAUACUAGAGGGCAACAUUUGACAGAAGACUGUGACUUUAAAAAAUUGAUCCUGCAAAACUAUUAUUUGGAUGUCUUAUUAUAUAAAUGGACACUAUCAGGUUCUGAAUUGACCACUUGGCGUGGAGUUGAGUGGAAGUUGUAUUGUGGCAUAAAGAUGUGGACAAUGCUGUUGCUCUUUCUCACUUCUGUUUAAGUCCAACAAACAGCUGUAAUGAAUCAAAGUAGGCUCUGAAAUGUAGGAUGUUUUCAGAACUUCAUUAACUCCAGCUCCCAGGUACACAUGAGAAUUUCUAAAUGCUCAGUAUUGCACAAUGCUACCUAACUCUCUGUAAAUAAUUAAUUAGUUUCAUUAUGUUGAAGAUAAAUGGAUUGGAGUGGGGGAGGCAAUGUUUCAUCUACAUUUGUUUCUUAAUAUUAUAAGAAUGGGUUACUGCAUCCACUUAAAUUGAGAGAACCUAUGCACAAUGCCUUUCUUACACCAUCUGGAUGGUGACUUUCAUCACAAAAGUUGCUAGUAGUUAGAGAAAUGGGUAGAACAACAUUGAUAUUGUAAGCUUAGAGGUGUAGUUUUAAACUUUUGUAGCUGAAACUGAGUUUAUGGAUUUAUUCAUCAUGAGCAAGAGAGUAAUGUUUACAAACUAAUAUGCUCGUAACAUUUUUUGUUAUAAUUAUUGCCUAAAAUUCUUCUGUAGAGUUGCUGUACACUUAAACCAGCAACGUACUCCAUAUUACAUUGAUAAAUGUGUGAUUCAACAAAUAUACUGGUUUGUUUUUAAUGGCUGUUAAACUGUAUUUCCAUUUCAGUUAAUUGAUUUGUCUGUCCUUUUCCAGUUAAACAAUUAGAGUGUUGAAAGGCUUUUUUGCUUUUAAUGCAUUAGGAAAAAUGAAUUUGCGUAAAUAUCAUUUCAUCAAUCAUUGUAUAAGCUAAAAUUGUGCUUUAGUGAAAGGUUGCUGAAAAUACUGUCAGUUAUUUUUGCUGAAGCACAACAGAGUGUUUUACGUAGGUUUUGUUGUUUGGCAUGUAAUCCAUAGCACAAGGUCUGUUUUUAAUGUAUGUAAUUUUUGGUUGGUGGUAUUCUCCCACUAUGUAUUUCUGAUGCAUCUCAUUUUAGUCUAAUUUUAUUUAAUUUCCUUUGAUGACAGUAGAUCAUCUGUUUGAUUAUUAUGCUAAAUCAAUUACUUUUGGUAGUCUG